RNAcentral lists this ribosomal RNA (496 nucleotides) under uncultured bacterium. RNAcentral describes it as "partial 16S ribosomal RNA". It matches the Rfam family "Bacterial small subunit ribosomal RNA", at positions 28 to 506 of the family's 1533-position model. The record is from RNAcentral.
GAUGAACGCUGGCGGCGUGCCUAAUACAUGCAAGUCGAGCGAACGGACGAGAAGCUUGCUUCUCUGAUGUUAGCGGCGGACGGGUGAGUAACACGUGGAUAACCUACCUAUAAGACUGGGAUAACUUCGGGAAACCGUAGCUAAUACCGGAUAAUAUUUUGAACCGCAUGGUUCAAAAGUGAAAGACGGUCUUGCUGUCACUUAUAGAUGGAUCCGCGCUGCAUUAGCUAGUUGGUAAGGUAACGGCUUACCAAGGCAACGAUGCAUAGCCGACCUGAGGGGGUGAUCGGCCACACUGGAACUGAGACACGGUCCAGACUCCUACGGGAGGCAGCAGUAGGGAAUCUUCCGAAAUGGGCGAAAGCCUGACGGAGCAACGCCGCGUGAGUGAUGAAGGUCUUCGGAUCGUAAAACUCUGUUAUUAGGGAAGAACAUAUGUGUAAGUAACUGUGCACAUCUUGACGGUACCUAAUCAGAAAGCCACGGCUAACUACGU